This 404-nucleotide ribosomal RNA is filed under the name uncultured bacterium. RNAcentral describes it as "bacterial SSU rRNA". It matches the Rfam family "Bacterial small subunit ribosomal RNA", at positions 355 to 776 of the family's 1533-position model. The record is from RNAcentral.
UGGGGAAUAUUGCGCAAUGGGGGGAACCCUGACGCAGCAACGCCGCGUGAAGGAAGAAGGUCUUCGGAUCGUAAACUUUUGUCUUUAGGGAAGAUAAUGACAGUACCUAAGGAGGAAGCCACGGCUAACUACGUGCCAGCAGCCGCGGUAAUACGUAGGUGGCAAGCGUUGUCCGGAUUUACUGGGUGUAAAGGGUGCGUAGACGGGCACUUAAGUCAGGUGUGAAAUACCGGAGCUCAACUCCGGGGCUGCACUUGAAACUGGGAGUCUUGAGUGUCGGAGAGGAAAGCGGAAUUCCUAGUGUAGCGGUGAAAUGCGUAGAUAUUAGGAGGAACACCAGUGGCGAAGGCGGCUUUCUGGACGAUAACUGACGUUGAGGCACGAAAGCGUGGGGAGCAAACAGG